This 497-nucleotide ribosomal RNA is filed under the name uncultured bacterium. RNAcentral's name for it is "partial 16S ribosomal RNA". It matches the Rfam family "Bacterial small subunit ribosomal RNA", at positions 28 to 507 of the family's 1533-position model. The record is from RNAcentral.
GAUGAACGCUGGCGGCGUGCCUAAUACAUGCAAGUCGAGCGAACAGACGAGGAGCUUGCUCCUUUGACGUUAGCGGCGGACGGGUGAGUAACACGUGGGUAACCUACCUAUAAGACUGGGAUAACUUCGGGAAACCGUAGCUAAUACCGGAUAAUAUUUCGAACCGCAUGGUUCGAUAGUGAAAGAUGGCUUUGCUAUCACUUAUAGAUGGACCUGCGCCGUAUUAGCUAGUUGGUAAGGUAACGGCUUACCAAGGCAACGAUACGUAGCCGACCUGAGAGGGUGAUCGGCCACACUGGAACUGAGACACGGUCCAGACUCCUACGGGAGGCAGCAGUAGGGAAUCUUCCGCAAUGGGCGAAAGCCUGACGGAGCAACGCCGCGUGAGUGAUGAAGGUCUUCGGAUCGUAAAACUCUGUUAUUAGGGAAGAACAAACGUGUAAGUAACUGUGCACGUCUUGACGGUACCUAAUCAGAAAGCCACGGCUAACUACGUG